Molecule: ribosomal RNA, 328 nt
Filed under: uncultured eukaryote
Lineage: Eukaryota
Description: partial 18S ribosomal RNA
Rfam family: Eukaryotic small subunit ribosomal RNA
Source: RNAcentral
CCCUUAGAUGUUCUGGGCCGCACGCGCGCUACACUGACUACUUCAACGAGUUGUUUCCUUGAUCGAAAGGUCUGGGUAAUCUUUGAAAGGUAGUCGUGAUGGGGAUAGAUCCUUGCAAUUUUUGAUCUUCAACGAGGAAUUCCUAGUAAACGCAAGUCAUCAGCUUGCAUUGAUUACGUCCCUGCCCUUUGUACACACCGCCCGUCGCACCUACCGAUUGAAUGGUCCGGUGAAUCUUUAGGACUGUGGCUGAGGCCUUGCCUUGUGCGGGUCUGGCCGUGGGAAUUUAGUUAAACCUUACCAUUUAGAGGAAGGGGAAGUCGUAACA